GUGAGUAGUUCAGAGUUUGAUCCUGGCUCAGGACGAACGCUGGCGGCGUGCCUAACACAUGCAAGUCGAACGGGGCACCUUCGGGUGCUUAGUGGCGAACGGGUGAGUAACGCGUGAGAAACCUACCUUUCAGUGGGGGACAACAGUUGGAAACGACUGCUAAUACCGCAUAAUGUUAUUUAAGGGCAUCCUUGAAUAACCAAAGCUUUAUGUGCUGAAAGAUGGUCUCGCGUCUGAUUAGCUAGAUGGCGGGGUAACGGCCCACCAUGGCGACGAUCAGUAGCCGGUCUGAGAGGAUGAACGGCCACAUUGGGACUGAGAUACGGCCCAG
This 331-nucleotide ribosomal RNA is filed under the name uncultured bacterium. RNAcentral describes it as "bacterial SSU rRNA". It matches the Rfam family "Bacterial small subunit ribosomal RNA", at positions 1 to 334 of the family's 1533-position model. The record is from RNAcentral.